GAUGAACGCUGGCGGCGUGCUUAACACAUGCAAGUCGAACGGAAAGGCCCAAUCUUGCUUGGGUACUCGAGUGGCGAAAGGGUGAGUAACACGUGGGUGAUCUGCCCUGCACUUCGGGAUACGCCUGGGGAACUGGGUUUACUACCGGACAGGACGACGUUAUGGAUGCAUUUGUGGAAAGAUUUUUGGGUGUGGGGUGAGCUAGCGGCCUAUCAGCUUUUUGGUGGUGUGAUGGCCUAGCAAGGCGUCGGGGGGUAGCCGGGCUAGGGGGGUGUACGGCCACAUUGGGACGUAGAGGAGGCCCAGACUCCUACGGGAGGCAGCAGUGGGGAAUAUUGCACAAUGGGCGAAAGCCUGAUGCAGCGACGCCGCGUGGGGGAUGACGGCGUUGGGGUUGUAAACUCCUGUCGCUAGGGACGAGGCGUUUUUGUGACGGUACCUGGAGAAGAAGCACCGGCUAACUACGUG
Molecule: ribosomal RNA, 468 nt
Filed under: uncultured bacterium
Lineage: Bacteria
Description: partial 16S ribosomal RNA
Rfam family: Bacterial small subunit ribosomal RNA
Source: RNAcentral